CCUACGGGAGGCAGCAGUGAGGAAUAUUGGUCAAUGGGCUUACGCCUGAACCAGCCAAGUCGCGUGAGGGAAGACUGCCCUAUGGGUUGUAAACCUCUUUUGUCAGGGAGCAAUUGGCGCUACGUGUAGCGUUAUCGAGAGUACCUGAAGAAAAAGCAUCGGCUAACUCCGUGCCAGCAGCCGCGGUAAUACGGAGGAUGCGAGCGUUAUCCGGAUUUAUUGGGUUUAAAGGGAGCGUAGAUGGGUUGUUAAGUCAGUUGUGAAAGUUUGCGGCUCAACCUGUGGCCUGCAUUUGAAACUGUAGUUCGUGAGUACUGGUGAGGCAGACGGAAUUCCUAGUGUAGCGGUGAAAUGCGUAGAUAUUAGGAGGAACACCAGUGGCGAAGGCGGUCUGCUGGACAGCAACUGACGCUGAGGCGCGAAAGCGUGGGGAGCAAACAGGAUUAGAUACCCUAGUAGUC
This 461-nucleotide ribosomal RNA is filed under the name uncultured bacterium. RNAcentral's name for it is "partial 16S ribosomal RNA". It matches the Rfam family "Bacterial small subunit ribosomal RNA", at positions 338 to 795 of the family's 1533-position model. The record is from RNAcentral.